GACGUAGGGCGCGAGCGUUGUCCGGAUUUACUGGGCGUAAGGGCGCGUAGGCGGUCGUGACAAGUCACUUGUGAAAUCUCCGGGCUUAACUCGGAACGGUCAAGUGAUACUGUCGGACUAGAGUACAGAAGGGGCAACUGGAAUUCUCGGUGUAGCGGUGAAAUGCGUAGAUAUCGAGAGGAACACCUGCGGCGAAGGCGGGUUGCUGGGCUGAUACUGACGCUGAGGCGCGAAAGCCAGGGGAGCGAACGGG
RNAcentral lists this ribosomal RNA (253 nucleotides) under uncultured bacterium. Its description in RNAcentral is "partial 16S ribosomal RNA". It matches the Rfam family "Bacterial small subunit ribosomal RNA", at positions 524 to 776 of the family's 1533-position model. The record is from RNAcentral.